RNAcentral lists this transfer RNA (67 nucleotides) under Triticum urartu. It matches the Rfam family "tRNA". Rfam says of the family: Transfer RNA (tRNA) molecules are approximately 80 nucleotides in length. Lineage: Eukaryota; Viridiplantae; Streptophyta; Magnoliopsida; Poales; Poaceae. The record is from Rfam by way of RNAcentral.
UCCAUUGCUCAGUUGGUAGAGCACAAGGCUCUUAACCUUGUGAGUGGGUUCAAGUCCCAUGAUGGAG